This 468-nucleotide ribosomal RNA is filed under the name uncultured bacterium. RNAcentral describes it as "partial 16S ribosomal RNA". It matches the Rfam family "Bacterial small subunit ribosomal RNA", at positions 28 to 507 of the family's 1533-position model. The record is from RNAcentral.
GACGAACGCUGGCGGCGUGCUUAACACAUGCAAGUCGAACGGAAAGGCCCUGCUUUUGUGGGGUGCUCGAGUGGCGAACGGGUGAGUAACACGUGAGUAACCUGCCCUUGACUUUGGGAUAACUUCAGGAAACUGGGGCUAAUACCGGAUAGGAGCUCCUGCUGCAUGGUGGUGGUUGGAAAGUUUCGGCGGUUGUGGAUGGACUCGCGGCUUAUCAGCUUGUUGGUGGGGUAGUGGCUUACCAAGGCUUUGACGGGUAGCCGGCCUGAGAGGGUGACCGGCCACAAUGGGACUGAGAUACGGCCCAGACUCCUACGGGAGGCAGCAGUGGGGAAUAUUGCACAAUGGGCGGAAGCCUGAUGCAGCAACGCCGCGUGCGGGAUGACGGCCUUCGGGUUGUAAACCGCUUUCGCCUGUGACGAAGCGUGAGUGACGGUAAUGGGUAAAGAAGCACCGGCUAACUACGUG